GACGAACGCUGGCGGCGUGCCUAAUACAUGCAAGUAGAACGCUGAAGGAGGAGCUUGCUUCUCUGGAUGAGUUGCGAACGGGUGAGUAACGCGUAGGUAACCUGCCUGGUAGCGGGGGAUAACUAUUGGAAACGAUAGCUAAUACCGCAUAAGAGUAGAUGUCGCAUGAUAUUUGCUUAAAAGGUUCAAUUGCAUCACUACUAGAUGGUCCUCAGUUGUAUUAGCUAGUUGGUGAGGUAACGGCUCACCAAGGAAACGAUACAUAGCCGACCGGAGAGGGGGGUCGGCCACACUGGGACGGAGACACGGCCCAGACUCCUACGGGAGGCAGCCGGAGGGAAUCUUCGGCAAUGGACGGAAGUCUGAACGAGCAACGCCGCGUGAGUGAAGAAGGGUUUCGGAUCGUAAAGCUCUGUUGUAAGAGAAGAACGAGUGUGAGAGUGGAAAGUUCACACUGUGACGGUAGCUUAACAGAAAGGGACGGCUAACUACGUG
This 495-nucleotide ribosomal RNA is filed under the name uncultured bacterium. RNAcentral's name for it is "partial 16S ribosomal RNA". It matches the Rfam family "Bacterial small subunit ribosomal RNA", at positions 28 to 507 of the family's 1533-position model. The record is from RNAcentral.